Molecule: transfer RNA, 57 nt
Filed under: Bos taurus (domestic cattle)
Lineage: Eukaryota; Metazoa; Chordata; Mammalia; Artiodactyla; Bovidae
Also listed under: 2 other names
Rfam family: tRNA
About the family: Transfer RNA (tRNA) molecules are approximately 80 nucleotides in length.
Source: Rfam by way of RNAcentral
UAGCUCAGAGGUUAAAGCAUCUGCCUGCAAUGCGGGAGACCCGGGUUCGAUCCCUGG